This 20-nucleotide non-coding RNA is filed under the name Arabidopsis thaliana (thale cress). Lineage: Eukaryota; Viridiplantae; Streptophyta; Magnoliopsida; Brassicales; Brassicaceae. The record is from RNAcentral.
UAUCUAUCAUGUCGUCAGUC